GGCUCUGGGGUGUGUGUCUCCAACAAGCGCGUGUGUGAUGGUGUGACGGACUGCCCUGAUGCCUCGGAUGAAGCCCAGUGUGUUCACCUGCUGCCUGUGAGCUCUGGGAACAGUACAGGUGAGGCCAGACUGCAGGUUCAGGUGAACUCCAAACGCUAUACUUCAUGUGCUCAGAACUGGACAUCAGAUCUGUCUCAGUACUUCUGCCGCUACCUGGGCUACAGGUCAGGAGUAGCCAGUCCUGUGUUAGCCAGAGAAGAGGACUCUCCAUUUACCUCCAUUUCUCUGAGGCCUGAUGGUAUUGUGCACCUGGA
Long non-coding RNA from Clupea harengus (Atlantic herring), 314 nucleotides. RefSeq lists it as uncharacterized. The transcript has 3 exons. NCBI's taxonomy places the organism in Eukaryota, Metazoa, Chordata, Actinopteri, Clupeiformes, Clupeidae. The record is from RefSeq and is a predicted model, not a curated record.